CAAGUUUCAAGAAUUCAGCCGUAACAUCUGGGGUCUAGAAUUUAAGAAGAACAAAGAUUAUUACAUCAUAUGCCUGCAUAACCAGGAAGGAGGGGUGUGCAAGACAAGAGCCAUGAAGAUCAUCAUGAAAGUUGGACAAAAUGCAAGUCCUGCUGGAUCAACCAGGAAUAAUGAUCCAACAAGACGUCCAGAGCUAGAAGCUAGUACAAAUGGGAGAUAUUCAACAACAAGCCCUUUUGUAUAACCAAAUCCAGGGACAGCAGUGUAGUGGGGAUGUGUGUCUAUGGGGUGCAUUUUUCUUAGAACCCAUAGAGGCAGAGGAGCCUCUAAACACAUCCAAACCAGUGAGAUUCACUCGUGGGCACAGAUUCCUGGGGUCUUUGCUCCCAGUGAGUCAAUAUUAACUCUGCCACUAAGACAGAUUAAUUCAGCCCGCUCAGUCACAAGAGCAGAGCUCACCAGGUGUUUCAGUUACUGAUGCAUCCUGAAGUGUUGAAACUAGGGAUGUUCCAGAUUUGCUGUCUAAUCUUUAGGAAGUGGUUGGCCUGGUGAGUGUCGGACCUUUGAAGCUCCUUCACCUCAUCUGGUGAUCUGUUGUCAAGUGGACCCAGAACCAGCACCGAUGGCAACAGCGCAGGGCAUUCCAGGAACAAUCUGGGUUACAAAGUGGCCUUAUUCGCAGGAAUCAUAUCAGGAUGCAU
This 701-nucleotide long non-coding RNA is filed under the name Cricetulus griseus (Chinese hamster). Its description in RNAcentral is "lncRNA (ENSCGRG00015039024.1)". The record is from RNAcentral. Lineage: Eukaryota; Metazoa; Chordata; Mammalia; Rodentia; Cricetidae.